UACGGAGGAUGCAAGCGUUAUCCGGAAUGAUUGGGCGUAAAGCGUCCGCAGGUGGCAUUUCAAGUCUGCGGUUAAAGGUUCUGGCUCAACCAGAGACAAGCCGUGGAAACUGAAAAGCUAGAGUAUGGUAGGGGCAGAGGGAAUUCCCAGUGUAGCGGUGAAAUGCGUAGAGAUUGGGAAGAACACCGGUGGCGAAAGCGCUCUGCUAGGCCAAAACUGACACUGAGGGACGAAAGCUAGGGGAGCGAAUGGG
RNAcentral lists this ribosomal RNA (253 nucleotides) under uncultured bacterium. RNAcentral's name for it is "partial 16S ribosomal RNA". It matches the Rfam family "Bacterial small subunit ribosomal RNA", at positions 524 to 776 of the family's 1533-position model. RNAcentral also lists the same sequence under 1 other name. The record is from RNAcentral.